This 253-nucleotide ribosomal RNA is filed under the name uncultured bacterium. RNAcentral's name for it is "partial 16S ribosomal RNA". It matches the Rfam family "Bacterial small subunit ribosomal RNA", at positions 524 to 776 of the family's 1533-position model. The record is from RNAcentral.
UACGGAGGGUGCGAGCGUUGUCCGGAAUCACUGGGCGUAAAGGGCGCGUAGGUGGCGCGGGCAGUCAACGGUGAAAGUUCGGGGCUCAACCCUGAAUCGGCCGUCGAUACUCCCGUGCUUGAGCACUGUAGAGGCAGAUGGAAUUCCGGGUGUAGCGGUGGAAUGCGUAGAGAUCCGGAAGAACACCGACGGCGUAGGCAGCGCCCUAGACGAGACCUGACGCUCAGGCACGAAAGCGCGGGGAGCGAACAGG